AUUGAACGCUGGCGGCAUGCCUUACACAUGCAAGUCGAACGGCAGCACGGGAGCUUGCUCCUGGUGGCGAGUGGCGAACGGGUGAGUAAUACAUCGGAACGUACCCUGAAGUGGGGGAUAACGUAGCGAAAGUUAACGCUAAUACCGCAUAUUCUGUGAGCAGGAAAGAGGGGGAUCGCAAGACCUCUUGCUUUAGGAGCGGCCGAUGUCGGAUUAGCUAGUUGGUGAGGUAAAGGCUCACCAAGGCGACGAUCCGUAGCGGGUCUGAGAGGAUGAUCCGCCACACUGGGACUGAGGCACGGCCCAGACUCCUGCGGGAGGCAGCAGUGGGGAAUUUUGGACAAUGGGCGCAAGCCUGAUCCAGCCAUGCCGCGUGAGUGAAGAAGGCCUCGGUGUAAG
RNAcentral lists this ribosomal RNA (399 nucleotides) under uncultured bacterium. RNAcentral describes it as "bacterial SSU rRNA". It matches the Rfam family "Bacterial small subunit ribosomal RNA", at positions 30 to 429 of the family's 1533-position model. The record is from RNAcentral.